AACGAACGCUGGCGGCAUGCUUAACACAAUGCAAGUCGAACGAGACCUUCGGGUCUAGUGGCGCACGGGUGCGUAACGCGUGGGAAUCUGCCCUUAGGUACGGAAUAACUCAGAGAAAUUUGUGCUAAUACCGUAUGAUGUCGAAAGACCAAAGAUUUAUCGCCUAAGGAUGAGCCCGCGUAAGAUUAGCUUGUUGGUGAGGUAAAAGCUCACCAAGGCGACGAUCUUUAGCUGGUCUGAGAGGAUGAUCAGCCACACUGGGACUGAGACACGGCCCAGACUCCUACGGGAGGCAGCAGUGGGGAAUAUUGGACAAUGGGCGAAAGCCUGAUCCAGCAAUGCCGCGUUGAGUGAUGAAGGCCUUAGGGUUGUAAAGCUCUUUUACCAGGGAUGAUAAUGACAGUACCUGGAGAAUAAGCUCCGGCUAACUCCGUG
This 435-nucleotide ribosomal RNA is filed under the name uncultured bacterium. RNAcentral's name for it is "bacterial SSU rRNA". It matches the Rfam family "Bacterial small subunit ribosomal RNA", at positions 29 to 507 of the family's 1533-position model. The record is from RNAcentral.